AGGUAACGGAGGCGCCCAAAGGUUCCCUCAGAAUGGUUGGAAAUCAUUCGAAGAGUGUAAAGGCAGAAGGGAGCUUGACUGUGAGACCAACAAGUCGAGCAGGGACGAAAGUCGGGCUUAGUGAUCCGGUGGUUCCGCAUGGAAGGGCCAUCGCUCAACGGAUAAAAUCUACCCUGGGGAUAACAGGCUUAUCUCCCCCAAGAGUCUACAUCGACGGGGAGGUUUGGCACCUCUAUGUCGGCUCGUCGCAUUCUGGGGCGGUAGUCGGUCCCAAGGGUUGGGCGGUUCGCCCCUUAAAGCGGUACGCGAGCUGGGUUCUGAAUGUCGUGAGGCUGUUUGGUCCCUGUCCGUCGCGGGGGGUGGGAAUUUGAGGUGAGCGGUCCUUAGUACGAGAGGACCAG
Molecule: ribosomal RNA, 401 nt
Filed under: Enterococcus faecium
Lineage: Bacteria; Bacillati; Bacillota; Bacilli; Lactobacillales; Enterococcaceae
Description: bacterial LSU rRNA
Rfam family: Bacterial large subunit ribosomal RNA
Source: RNAcentral